This is a long non-coding RNA of Eublepharis macularius, 210 nucleotides long. RefSeq lists it as uncharacterized. The record is from RefSeq and is a predicted model, not a curated record. Lineage: Eukaryota; Metazoa; Chordata; Lepidosauria; Squamata; Eublepharidae. The transcript is spliced from 4 exons.
CAUGGGCAGAAAGGCAGCAGUGGACGAAGGGGUAGAAACGGCCUCGGAGGAAUGCCAGGUGAACGUGGACAAGCUGGUUUAAGAGGAGACGCUGGAUAUUCUGGAAUUGACAAUGAUGACAUCGGUCCUCUGGGUGAAAGCGGAAAACCAGGGCGGCGGGGAGACACAGGAGCUGAUGGCACACCAGGAAGACCGGGAGAGCAGGGUGCA